RNAcentral lists this ribosomal RNA (520 nucleotides) under uncultured Entrophospora. Its description in RNAcentral is "SSU rRNA". It matches the Rfam family "Eukaryotic small subunit ribosomal RNA", at positions 569 to 1083 of the family's 1831-position model. Lineage: Eukaryota; Fungi; Glomeromycota; Glomeromycetes; Entrophosporales; Entrophosporaceae. The record is from RNAcentral.
AGCAGCCGCGGUAAUUCCAGCUCCAAUAGCGUAUAUUAAAGUUGUUGCAGUUAAAAAGCUCGUAGUUGAAUUUCGGGAUUGACGUGAUGGUCAUGCCUUAAGGGGUAUGAACCGUUACAGUUGAUUUCUCACCUUCUGGAGAAACUUGAUGUCCUUUAUUGGGUGUCUUGCGGAUCCAGGACCUUUACCUUGAAAAAAUUAGAGUGUUUAAAGCAGGCAUUUUUGCUCGAAUACAUUAGCAUGGAAUAAUAGAAUAGGACGGCAUGGUUCUAUUUUGUUGGUUUCUAGGAUCACCGUAAUGAUUAAUAGGGAUAGUUGGGGGCAUUAGUAUUCAAUUGUCAGAGGUGAAAUUCUUGGAUUUAUUGAAGACUAACUACUGCGAAAGCAUUUGCCAAGGAUGUUUUCAUUAAUCAAGAACGAAAGUUAGGGGAUCGAAGACGAUCAGAUACCGUCGUAGUCUUAACCAUAAACUAUGCCGACUAGGAAUCAGACGAUGUUAAUUUUUUAAUGACUCGUUUGG